GCUUGUAGCACUUAUUUUACCCUGGGCUCACUAAACCUGCUCAUCUCCACUACAACAUUCAAGAACCGUCAAACUCCUGAUCCAGUAACCUUCUAUGACUAGCGUGCAUCAUGGCAUUUACAGUAAAGCUAGCCCUCUACAGCUCACACCUCUGACUGCCAAAGGCACAUAUAGAGGCCCCAUUGCCGGGUCUAUCGUUCUUGCAGCAGUACUUCUAAAAUUAGGUGGGUAUGGUAUAAUACAAGUUACUUUAAUUCUAAUCCCCUGGCAGAAUUUAUAGCAUAUCCAUUCCUCAUUCUAUCUCUCUAAGGGAUAAUCAUAACAAGUUCUAUUUGCUUCUGACAGACUGACCUAAAAUCACUCAUUGGCCUAUUUUUUCAUAAGCCACAUGGCGCUUG
Molecule: long non-coding RNA, 398 nt
Filed under: Homo sapiens (human)
Lineage: Eukaryota; Metazoa; Chordata; Mammalia; Primates; Hominidae
Description: non-protein coding lnc-ME2-4:2
Source: RNAcentral